RNAcentral lists this ribosomal RNA (504 nucleotides) under uncultured bacterium. RNAcentral's name for it is "bacterial LSU rRNA". It matches the Rfam family "Bacterial large subunit ribosomal RNA", at positions 812 to 1318 of the family's 2925-position model. The record is from RNAcentral.
UGACUAGGGGUGAAAGGCUAAAACAAAUCCGGAGAUAGCUGGUUCUCCUCGAAAACUAUUGAGGUAGUGCCUCGUGUAUAUCCACUGGGGUAGAGCACUGUAAUGGCUAGGGGGACAUGUAGUCUUACCAAAACCAUAGCAAACUCCGAAUACCAGUGAGAGUGAGCACGGGAGACAGUCCUCGGGUGCUAACGUCCGAGGGCAAGAGGGAAACAACCCAGACCGCCAGCUAAGGUCCCCAAGAUAUGGUUAAGUGGGAAACGAAGUGGAAGGCAUAGACAGUCAGGAUGUUGGCUUAGAAGCAGCCAUCAUUUAAAGAAAGCGUAAUAGCUCACUGAUCGAGUCGUCCUGCGCGGAAGAUGUAACGGGGCUCAAGCCAUACACCGAAGCUGCGGAUCGUAGUAAUACGAUGGUAGAGGAGCGUUCUGUAAGCCUGUGAAGGUGUCUCGUAAGGGAUGCUGGAGGUAUCAGAAGUGCGAAUGCUGACAUGAGUAGCGUUAAAAC